Molecule: ribosomal RNA, 497 nt
Filed under: uncultured bacterium
Lineage: Bacteria
Description: partial 16S ribosomal RNA
Rfam family: Bacterial small subunit ribosomal RNA
Source: RNAcentral
GAUGAACGCUGGCGGCGUGCCUAAUACAUGCAAGUCGAGCGAACAGAUGAGGAGCUUGCUCCUCUGACGUUAGCGGCGGACGGGUGAGUAACACGUGGAUAACCUACCUAUAAGACUGGGAUAACUUCGGGAAACCGGAGCUAAUACCGGAUAAUAUAUUGAACCGCAUGGUUCAAUAGUGAAAGACGGUUUUGCUGUCACUUAUAGAUGGAUCCGCGCCGCAUUAGCUAGUUGGUAAGGUAACGGCUUACCAAGGCAACGAUGCGUAGCCGACCUGAGAGGGUGACCGGCCACACUGGAACUGAGACACGGUCCGGACUCCUACGGGAGGCAGCAGUAGGGAAUCUUCCGCAAUGGGCGAAAGCCUGACGGAGCAACGCCGCGUGAGUGAUGAAGGUCUUCGGAUCGUAAAACUCUGUUAUUAGGGAAGAACAAAUGUGUAAGUAACUAUGCACGUCUUGACGGUACCUAAUCAGAAAGCCACGGCUAACUACGUG